Molecule: ribosomal RNA, 484 nt
Filed under: uncultured bacterium
Lineage: Bacteria
Description: partial 16S ribosomal RNA
Rfam family: Bacterial small subunit ribosomal RNA
Source: RNAcentral
AUUGAACGCUGGCGGCAGGCCUAACACAUGCAAGUCGAGCGGAUGAAGGGAGCUUGCUCCUGGAUUCAGCGGCGGACGGGUGAGUAAUGCCUAGGAAUCUGCCUGGUAGUGGGGGAUAACGUCCGGAAACGGGCGCUAAUACCGCAUACGUCCUGAGGGAGAAAGUGGGGGAUCUUCGGACCUCACGCUAUCAGAUGAGCCUAGGUCGGAUUAGCUAGUUGGUGGGGUAAAGGCCUACCAAGGCGACGAUCCGUAACUGGUCUGAGAGGACGAUCAGUCACACUGGAACUGAGACACGGUCCAGACUCCUACGGGAGGCAGCAGUGGGGAAUAUUGGACAAUGGGCGAAAGCCUGAUCCAGCCAUGCCGCGUGUGUGAAGAAGGUCUUCGGAUUGUAAAGCACUUUAAGUUGGGAGGAAAGGCAGUAAGUUAAUACCUUGCUGUUUUGACGUUACCAACAGAAUAAGCACCGGCCAACUUCGUG